UCUUGUAAUUUAAAAAGAAAGCAAGGAAGAAAGAGGGAGAGAGAGUAGCUGGGCUGGGCGAGAUCGCCGGUAUAUUUGAAAAGAGAUUCCGGCAGGCCAGGAUGAAUAGAGAAAGUUUUUUAAAGAAAGAAUACUACGUAGUUGGAUUUUCUUUUCUUUGAAUUCAACACUCAAUCAAACGUUUCAGUUUCAGACAAAAAUCCCCACAGUUGCCCUUACUUAAACGAGUCCUCACCACUCCCAAAGGCCACAGUCCACACACACACACACACACAACACCAAUAACCAUCCAUCUAUAAUCUACAGUUCCUCCUGCAAAUAUACCCCCACCACCAUCUCCUCCACUAAAAACCACAACGAUCUCUUUUUCAAGAUUCCAAAGCCAAUUCCUCCUCCUUUCAAGAUUUUAGGUUAAAAAGGAAGCAUUUUUCUGCUAUAUACAAAAGCGAAAACCCAGAGGAAAAAAAAAAGGAACAAAUUUCUUUUAACUUCGUAUAUUUUUGAGAUAAAUAUAAUACCCUUUGCUUUUUCAAGAUUAGAAUUUUGGUUCUUGGUUUCUUAUAGCUAGUCAGUCAUGGAACCACCAGAAAAUUACAGCACAAGUACCUCUUUUGCAGUGCCUUUGGAAGAUGCCCAGAAGAUAAUUCUGAGGUGGGACUCAACAGCAUCAGAAGAAGCAAGAGAAAGAAUGAUCUUUGGUGGAGAUCGUCAAGAAGUGGAUCUAUACUUACAAGCUGUUGAUGAAAUCCAAAAGUCUAUGUCAUCGACUUCAAUAUCACCUCCUUCAUCCCAUCAUCAUGAUGAAGAUAGUAACAGUAACAAAGUCAACUCUGCUAUACAGAUCGCCAUGGCUAGACUUGAAGAUGAGUUCCGCAAUAUCCUUAUUAACCAUACAAGCCCUGUUGAAGUAGACUCUCUUUUCAUUCCUGAUCAUGCUCCUGCUCCGGCUUCUUCUUUGAACCACAAUACUAGUUCGGUAGGAAGCAGCAGUGAAUUUGAUCAGGAGGAAGUUGGUGGUGGUGAUCAUGUUGAUGCUUUAGAUCCUAUACAGCGUGCAGAUUCGAGUAAUAGUAGUGCUAGUUAUCGAUCUACGAGUAGUAUUCGUGAGAUCGAUCUGAUUCCUCAAGAAGCUGUAGCAGACCUUCAGUCCAUUGCGAAACGGAUGGUCUCUGCUGGGUACUUUAGGGAGUGUAUCCAGGUCUAUGGGAGUGUGAGAAAAUCAGCUGUGGAUGCGAGUUUUCGGAGACUUGGGAUUGAGAAGUUGAGUAUUGGGGAUAUUCAGAGACUAGAAUGGGAGGCUUUGGAGACCAAGAUCAGGAGGUGGAUUAGGGCGGCCAAGGUUUGUGUUAGGAUAUUGUUUGCUAGUGAGAAGAAGCUUUGUGAGGAGAUUUUUUAUGGGAUUGGUACUGCUAUCGACGAUGCUUGUUUUAUGGAGACUGUCAAGGGUCCAGCGAUUCAAUUGUUUAAUUUUGCUGAGGCAAUUAGUAUUAGCAGGAGAUCUCCUGAGAAAAUGUUCAAGAUUUUGGACUUACACGAUGCUUUGAUGGACUUGUCGCCUGAUAUUGAGGUUGUCUUUGAAUCAAAAUCUGCUGAUUCCAUUCGAGUCCAGGCUGCUGAGAUUUUGUCAAGAUUGGCUGAGGCAGCUAGGGGGAUUUUAUCUGAGUUUGAGAGUGCUGUUUUGCGUGAGCCCUCGAGGGUUCCGGUGCCUGGAGGGACAAUUCAUCCGUUGACAAGGUAUGUGAUGAAUUACAUCAGUUUGAUUUCGGAUUAUAAGCAGACCUUGAUUGGGCUUAUUAUGUCAAAACCAUCUACUGGCUCGAGAUAUUCGGGUGAUCCAACUACCCCUGAUAUGGAAUUUACUGAACUAGAGGGGAAAACCCCUUUAGCCCUUCAUUUGAUUUGGAUUAUUGUGAUUUUGCAAUUCAAUUUGGAGGGCAAGUCCAAGCACUACAAGGAUGCAUCGUUGGCCCAUCUGUUUAUAAUGAACAAUGUUCACUAUAUUGUUCAGAAGAUUAAAGGGUCACCAGAAUUGAGAGAAAUGAUUGGAGAUGAUUACUUGAGAAAGCUAACAGGAAAAUUCAGGCAGGCGGCAACUAGUUACCAGAGAGCAACCUGGGUGAGUGUUUUGUAUUGCUUGAGGGAUGAGGGGUUACAUGUAAGUGGGAGUUUCUCUUCUGGUGUCUCAAAGAGUGCUUUGAGAGAGAGAUUUAAGACCUUCAAUGCUAUGUUUGAGGACGUUCACAGGACUCAAGCAACAUGGUUGAUUCCGGAUUCUCAGCUUCGGGAGGAGCUUCGAAUUUCUAUAUCUGAGAAGUUGAUCCCAGCUUAUAGGUCAUUUCUUGGACGGUUCAGGAGUCAUAUAGAGAGUGGAAAGCAUCCAGAAAAUUAUAUCAAGUAUUCAGUGGAGGAUUUAGAGAGUGCUGUCUUGGAUUUCUUCGAAGGUUCUCCUGCAUCUCAGCACCUGAGGAGGAGAUCUCAGUAAAGGAAUGGAUAAGUUUUGCCGAUUUAGAAACUAGGACACAUUCUUUGAAUUUUUUGUGAAGUGUUUGGGUGAUGUGGUUCUGGUUAAUAGGGGGCUGCCCUGUGCACUCUAGUUCUUUUAUGUAUCAUCAGUUAAUUUUCCAUGGAUCAGAACAAGUAGAGUUCUUUGGGAAGAUUUGGUGUAGCUCUCUCUUGAAUAGCCAGGUCUCUCAACCUGAAUGCUUCCACACUGUUGAUGCCAGAUACAUUUGAAGGUUGAGAUCCGUCACAGACAUAAAGUCCUGCAAGAUAUGACAAAAACUGGGACCCUUUUGUGCUUGAAUAAAUUUGGAAGCUUUUCAAGUCAUCUCAUUUCUUUAACAACGUAAUCUCCAGCUGGCUUUAGGGUAACUUUGACAAUUUGUGGAUUCAACUUUCGAUUCGGUUUGGAUACAUAAAGAAUUCCUACUGUAUACGUUUUUCUAAUUCAUUCGAACUCGGCUAGUAGUUUUGUCAUUGCUUGUCUUGCUUGAAUUUAGUGACCAAGUACUUCAGAUAUACAGUGU
RNA transcript from Populus euphratica (Euphrates poplar), 3026 nucleotides. It is a transcript of the gene named exocyst complex component EXO70A1-like, with no coding region annotated. The transcript is spliced from 2 exons. NCBI's taxonomy places the organism in Eukaryota, Viridiplantae, Streptophyta, Magnoliopsida, Malpighiales, Salicaceae. The record is from RefSeq and is a predicted model, not a curated record.